UGGAUUUAUAAUUAGAAAGAUCAUAUCAUAGGGAACAUGUGUACUAAGUUUCAAGUUGAUUGGACUUCAACUUCUUCAAAAACUACCUUGACCAAAAACUUUAACCUGAAGCGAACGGACGGACGGACGAACGGAGGCACAGACCAGAAAACAUAAUGCCCCUCUACUAUCGUAGGUGAAGCAUAAAAAACUAUGCCAACAUUUAAGAAUGUAAAAAUUGUGGAACGGUAAAUGUUAAAACAUUUGAUUGCAUUACAUCGAAGUUUAGUUUGGUUUUAAUUUACUAAUAACAAAAUGGUCCUUGAUGGAUUUUUAAAUACGGUUUUGGAACUG
RNAcentral lists this long non-coding RNA (333 nucleotides) under Mytilus galloprovincialis (Mediterranean mussel). Lineage: Eukaryota; Metazoa; Mollusca; Bivalvia; Mytilida; Mytilidae. The record is from RNAcentral.